ACGCCUUAUACAUGCAAGUCGAACGGAGUAGCAAUACUUAGUGGCAGACGGGUGAGUAACAUGUGGGAAUCUUCCCUUUGGUGAGGAAUAACACGAGGAAACUUGUGCUAAUACCUCAUAAGUCUUUACGGAGAAAGCUUUAUGCGCCAAAGGAUGAGCCUGCACUUGAUUAGUUUGUUGGUGGGGUAAUGGCCCACCAAGACUGUGAUCAAUAGCUGAUCUGAGAGGAUGAUCAGCCACAUUGGGACUGAGACACGGCCCAAACUCCUACGGGAGGCAGCAGUAAGGAAUCUUGCACAAUGGAGGAAACUCUGAUGCAGCGAUGCCGCGUGAGUGAAGAAGGCCUUUGGGUUGUAAAGCUCUUUCGUCGGGGAAGAAAAUGACGGUACCCGAAUAAGAAGGUCCGGCUAACUUCGUGCCAGCAGCCGCGGUAAUACGAAGGGACCUAGCGUAGUUCGGAAUUACUGGGCUUAAAGAGUUCGUAGGUUGUUAAAAAAGUUGGUGGUGAAAUCCCAGAGCUUAACUCUGGAACUGCCAUCAAAACUUUUUAGCUAGAGUUUGAUAGAGGAAAGCAGAAUUUCUAGUGUAGAGGUGAAAUUCGUAGAUAUUAGAAAGAAUACCAAUUGCGAAGGCAGCUUUCUGGAUCAUUACUGACACUGAGGAACGAAAGCAUGGGUAGCGAAGAGGAUUAGAUACCCUCGUAGUCCAUGCUGUAAACGAUGUGUGUUAGACGUUGGAAAUUUAUUUUCAGUGUCGCAGCGAAAGCAUUAAACACACCGCCUGGGGAGU
RNAcentral lists this ribosomal RNA (789 nucleotides) under uncultured Pelagibacteraceae bacterium. Its description in RNAcentral is "bacterial SSU rRNA". It matches the Rfam family "Bacterial small subunit ribosomal RNA", at positions 44 to 881 of the family's 1533-position model. The record is from RNAcentral. Lineage: Bacteria; Pseudomonadati; Pseudomonadota; Alphaproteobacteria; Candidatus Pelagibacterales; Candidatus Pelagibacteraceae.